AACAUGGAAUAAGACACAUGGAUAAAGACACAUGGAAUAAGACACAUGGAAGAAGACACAUGGAUAAAGACACAUGGAAUAAGACACAUGGAAUAAGACACAUGGAAGAAGACACAUGGAAUAAGACACAUGGAAGAAGACACAUGGAAUAAGACACAUGGAUAAAGACACAUGGAAUAAGACACAUGGAAUAAGACACAUGGAAUAACGACACAUGGAAUAAGACACAUGGAACAUGACACAUGGAAUAAGACACAUGGAAUAAAGACACAUGGAAUAAGACACAUGGAAUAAGACACAUGGAUAAAGACACAUGGACAAAGACACAUGGAAUAAAACACAUGGAAGAAGACACAUGGAAUAAGACACAUGGAUAAAGACACAUGGAAUAAGACACAUGGAAUAAGACACAUGGAAUAAGACACAUAGAUAAAGACACAUGGAAUAAGACACAUGGAUAAAGACACAUGGAUAAAGACACAUGGACAAAGACACAUGGAAUAAAACACAUGGAAGAAGACACAUGGAAUAAGACACAUGGACAAAGACACAUGGAAUAAAACACAUGGAAGAAGACACAUGGAAUAAGACACAUGGAUAAAGACACAUGGAAUAAGACACAUGGAAUAAGACACAUGGAAUAAGACACAAUGAAGAAGCCCAGCUAAUUCAUAUACAGCUGCACGCCUCUCUUUUUCUCUCUCCUCCUCCCUUCCUCCCCUCCUCCUCUCCUCACCCUCCUCCUCUCUUCUCCUCUCCUCCUCCACUCCUCACCUUCCGCCUCUCCUCCCAUCCUCUCUCUCCUUCUGUCCUCCUCUCCUCCGCCUCUCCUCCUCCUCUCCUCCCCACCUCCCCACCUCUUCUCCUCUGCUCCUCUCCCUCCUUUUCUCUUCUCCUCCUCUCCUCACCCUUCACCUCUCCUCCCAUCCUCCUCUCCUUCUGUCCUGCUCUCCUCCUCCCACCUCUUCUGUUCCUCCUCCUCUCCCUCCUCUUCUCUUCUCCUCUCCUCCUCCUCUCCUCCCAUCCUCCUCUCCUACCCGCCUCUCCUCCUCCCUUACUCCUCUCAACAAUCCUCCUCUUCUCCUCCCCCUCUUCUUCUCCCAUACUCAUCCUCUCCUCCUCCUCUUCUUCUCAUCCUCCUCCCAUCCUCCUCUCCUCCUCUCCUCCUCCCCUCCUCUCCUCAUCCUCCUCUCUUCCUCCUCCUCUCCUCCUCUCUUCUCCUCACCCUCCUCCUCUCCUCACCUUCCAUUUCUCCUCCCCUCCUGUCAUGCCUCUCUCCAUAGCCAGUGCAGACAGAUAAGCAGCCAGCCAUAGACUGGCUAAUCCACUGGGAGAAACAGACCAUGAUAGCAAGAUAAAAACCAGCUAGAUAAGCAUGGAGAGAGAGAGAAACCGAGAGAGAGAGACAGAGAGAGAGACAAAGAGACAAAGAGACAGACAGAGAGAAAGAGACAAAGAGCGAGAGAGAGACAAAGAGACAGAGAGAAAGACAUAGAGAGACAAAGAGAGACAGAGAGACAUAGACAAAGAGGGAGACAAAGAAUAAGGGACAGAAGGUUAGAGAAGAGGGGACUAGAGGUAGAGAGACAGAGAGAGGAGAAGGGACAGAAGGGAAGAGGGGACUAGAGGUAGAGAGACAGAGAGAGGAGAAGGGACAGAAGGGAAGAGGGGACUAGAGGUAGAGAGACAGAGAGAGGAGAAGGGACAGAAGGGAAGAGGGGACUAGAGGUAGAGAGACAGAGAGAGGAGAAGGGACAGAAGGGAAGAGGGGACUAGAGGUAGAGAGACAGAGAGAGGAGAAGGGACAGAAGGGAAGAGGGGACUAGAGGUAGAGAGACAGAGAGAGGAGAAGGGACAGACGGGAAGAGGGGACUAGAGGUAGAGAGACAGAGAGAGGAGAAGGGACAGAAAGGAAGAGGGGACUAGAGGUAGAGAAGUGCAGUAGUUGAGGAAAUAGCAGGAGGUUAAUGUGUUUGUAGUCUGCAGACAGUUUGUCUAAUUUGUUUGAGUGUGACGCCAUAUGUGUUAGUGAGGUCUGUAGAUCUCUCUCGUUCUGUCGCUCUCUCAAUUCAAUUGAAUUCAAUUCCAUUCAAAGGGAAGUAUUGGCAUGGGAAACAUAUGUUUACAUUGCCAAAACAACUGAAAUAGACAAUUAACAAAAGUGAAAUAAACAAUAAAAAAUGAACAGUAAACAAAAGAAUAAAGACAUUUUAAAUGUUAUAUUAUGGCUAUAUACAGUGUUGUAAAAAAGCCUGGAGGGAGCGGUUGAGCCGGAUUACCAGACGCCCUAAAUACCAGAUGUAUUUCUGAGUGUAUCUGAGUGGAGCCAAAGAGAGGAAGAGUGUGCAAGUUGGAGCAGAGAAUGAGUCAGAAUUUGAUUGAGAAGAGAAAGAAAGAUGCAGUUUUGCAGACAACCCAGAAGUGGUUCCCCAGAGAGACGUUUUGGAGGUUUUCGUCAGAUGUAGAGCGCUCUCUCUCUCUCUCUCUCUCUCUCUCUCUCUCUCUCUCUCUCUCUCUCUCUACCUCCCUCUCUCUCUCCAUCCCUCUAUCUCCCUCCCUCUAUCUCCCUCUCUCUCUCGCUCUCUCUUUCUCUUUCUCUCUCUACCUCCCUCUCUCUCCAUCCCUCUAUCUCCCUCUCUCUCUAUCUCCAUCCCUCUAUCUCCCUCUCUCUCUCUCUCUCUCUCUCUCUCUUUC
This 2694-nucleotide long non-coding RNA is filed under the name Salmo salar (Atlantic salmon). RNAcentral's name for it is "lncRNA (ENSSSAG00000092840.1)". Lineage: Eukaryota; Metazoa; Chordata; Actinopteri; Salmoniformes; Salmonidae. The record is from RNAcentral.